Non-coding RNA from Drosophila simulans, 154 nucleotides. The record is from Rfam. NCBI's taxonomy places the organism in Eukaryota, Metazoa, Arthropoda, Insecta, Diptera, Drosophilidae.
AAAAAAAAAAACACCUUUUUUUUUUUUUUUUUUUUUUUUUUUUUUUUUUUCCCCCCCCCCCCCCCCCAAAAAAAAAAAAAAAAAAAAAAAAAAAAAAAAAAAAACCUUCGUGGGGGGGGGGGGGUGGGGGGGGGGGUGUGGGGGUUUUUUUCCC